GUGGACCGUACGAUACUGGGCGUAAGCGUGCGUAGGUGGUCGGCAAGUCUGUAAGCGUCCGUAGGUGGCCCGGCAAGUCUGCUGUCAAAGACCACAGCUCAACUGUGGAAAGGCAGUGGAAACUGCAAGGCUAGAGUGCGGUAGGGGUAGAGGGAAUUCCCAGUGUAGCGGUGAAAUGCGUAGAGAUUGGGAAGAACACCGGUGGCGAAAGCGCUCUACUGGGCCGCAACUGACACUGAUGGACGAAAGCUAGGGGAGCGAAUGGGAUUAGAUACCCCAGUAGUCCUAGCUGUAAACGAUGGAAACUAGGUGUAGCACGUAUCGACCCGUGCUGUAUCGGAGCUAACGCGUUAAGUUUCCCGCCUGGGGAGUACGCACGCAAGUGUGAAACUCAAAGGAAUUGACGGGGGCCCGCACAAGCGGUGGAGUAUGUGGUUUAAUUCGAUGCAACGCGAAGAACCUUACCAGGGCUUGACAUGUCCGGAACCUCUGUGAAAGCAGAGGGUGCCUUCGGGAGCCGGAACACAGGUGGUGCAUGGCUGUCGUCAGCUCGUGUCGUGAGAUGUUGGGUUAAGUCCCGCAACGAGCGCAACCCUCGUCCUUAGUUGCCAGCAUUUUGGAUGGGCACUCUAGGGAGACUGCCGGUGACAAACCGGAGGAAGGUGGGGAUGACGUCAAGUCAGCAUGCCCCUUACGUCCUGGGCGACACACGUACUACAAUGCUGUGGACAAAGAGCAGCCAACCCGCGAGGGCGAGCUAAUCUCAUAAACCACGGCUCAGUUCAGAUCGCAGGCUGCAACUCGCCUGCGUGAAGGCGGAAUCGCUAGUAAUCGCCGGUCAGCAUACGGCGGUGAAUCCGUUCCCGGGCCUUGUACACACCGCCCGUCACACCAUGGGAGCUGGCCACGCCCGAAGUCGUUACUCCAACCGUUCGCGGAGGAGGACGCCGAAGGCAGGGCUGGUGACUGGGGUGAAGUCGUAACAAGGUAGCCGUACCGGAAGGUGUGGCUGGAUCACCUCCUUUAUAGGGAGACCCGACACAAAAGAAGAAACACAAAAA
This 1061-nucleotide ribosomal RNA is filed under the name Cyanobacteria bacterium PCS-2. RNAcentral's name for it is "bacterial SSU rRNA". It matches the Rfam family "Bacterial small subunit ribosomal RNA", at positions 511 to 1533 of the family's 1533-position model. The record is from RNAcentral. Lineage: Bacteria; Bacillati; Cyanobacteriota.